GGCUGUAGCUCAGUGGCAGAGUGCUUGCCUAGCAGGUGUGAGGCACUGAGUUCGAUCCUCAGCACCA
RNAcentral lists this transfer RNA (67 nucleotides) under Marmota monax (woodchuck). RNAcentral describes it as "tRNA.Ala". The record is from RNAcentral. Lineage: Eukaryota; Metazoa; Chordata; Mammalia; Rodentia; Sciuridae.